GUGCCUAACACAUGCAAGUCGAACGAGAAAGCGGGGGCAACUCCGUGAGUAAAGUGGCGACCGGGUGAGUAACACGUGACUAACCUGCCCUCAAGUGGGGAAUAACUUCGGGAAACCGAGGCUAAUACCGCAUAACAUCGCGAUCGUGAAGGUCGUGAUCAAAGCAGCAAUGCGCUGGAGGAGGGGGUCGCGGCUGAUUAGCUAGUUGGUGAGGUAACGGCUCACCAAGGCGGUGAUCAGUAUCCGGCCUGAGAGGGCGCACGGACACACUGGAACUGAAACACGGUCCAG
This 291-nucleotide ribosomal RNA is filed under the name uncultured bacterium. RNAcentral describes it as "partial 16S ribosomal RNA". It matches the Rfam family "Bacterial small subunit ribosomal RNA", at positions 44 to 334 of the family's 1533-position model. RNAcentral also lists the same sequence under 1 other name. The record is from RNAcentral.